GUUAUUAUUAACUAAAGUCCAUAGUUUAUCCAGCUUGCCUUAGUUUUUACCUAAUGUCCUUUUUCUGUUCCAGGUAUCCCAUCUGGGAUACUACAUUACAUUUAGUUGUCAUGUCUCCUUAGGAUCUUCUUGGCUUUGAGUUUCUCAGAUGUUCCUUAAAUGUUUUUGAUGACCUUGACAGUUUUGAGGAGCACUGGUCAGGUAUUUUGUAAGAUUUCCCUUUAUUGGAAUUUGCCUGAUGUUUUUCUCGUUUUUAGACUGGGGUUAUGGGUUUUGGGGAGGAAGAUCCCAGAGGUAAAGUGUCGUUUUCAUCACAUCCUAUCAAGGGUACAUGGUGUUAACAUAAUUUAUGACUGUUGAUGUUGAGCUUGGUGACCUGGCUGAGGUAGUGCUUGUCAGAUUUCUCCACUAUAAAGUUAGUCUUACUCCACACCCCUUUCCCUAGUGUGGUAUUUGGAAGAAGUCACUAUGUGCAGCCCAGACUUAAAGAGUGAGGAGUUAUGCUCCCCGUCCUUGAGAGUGGCGUACAUAAAUUAUUUGGAGUCCUUCUGUGUAAGAGAUUUGUCUCUUCUCCCACUUACUAAUUUAUCUAAUCAUUUAUAUCACUAUAGCUUCAUGGAUAUUUAUUUUAUUCUUUGGGUUAUAAUUCAAUACUACUUUACUUUGUUGCUCAAUUGUUCGCACUUUGGCCACUGAGAGAUCUUUCACUUGGCUCCUGUGCCCCUUUGACAUACCUCCGUCAAAGUGGGUGUUUUUGUUUUUGAGGACUUCCUUACUACUUUCUGGCACUACAGGUUGCUCCCAGCUCAUCUUGUGUAUUUUCUGCCUCAGUCCAGAAUCAGCCACUUCUCCAAGGAACCCUUUUUCCUUUUAUUGGAGAAUGGUGUUAGAAACCAAGAUCUGGGUGUUAGCUGUGCUUGUUGCUACUGGGAUGUGGUUUCUUUUAGGCACCCUCAGCAGACAAAGCAAAGAAAGGAAUGUGUCCAUAUUAAUAGACAUGUCCAUAAUUAUUUUUCUGUGUAACCGUCUGUGUCUAUAUUAAGCUAAGUAUGAGUUUUUAGUCUUCAGCUCUAACCCGUUAACCACGUGGAUCAUUCUGGCGUUCUCCCCCUACUGAAAGUAAAUUUCCUCCAACAGUGAGAAACCUGCCUCCCACCAUAUGUGAUCCAUUUACUUAAUUGUUCAAUUCCAGUAUGUAUACAUGACAUCUAGCAGUAUCAGAAUUGCUAACCCAUACCCAAAUGGAAACUGUAUCAACUAAGAGGUUGGUUUUGUUGAUUCCUUGGAAAUUUCAACAUACAUAAUCAUGUCGUCUGCAAACAAAAAGUUGUGUUUCUUCUUUCAAAUUUUUAUUUUCUUUUGUCGUCUUACUGCAAUAGCUAGAGCUUCCAGUAUGGUAUCGCAUAGGAGUGGUGAGAGCAGACGUCCUUGCCUUGUUCCUGAGCUUAGAGGAAAAGUAUCCGGUUUCUCACCAUUAGGUGUCAUUAUUCUCUUUGAUGCUCAGAUUGUCUCAUAUUUGGCCAUUGGGGCUUUCUCAAGGUGACUGCUCUAUCAUUUUGAUCUGACCUGGUUGGUUGUUGAGUACUUCCUUGUUUUGUGGCAGAACAAGAUGUCUGUGUUUCAAAUUUUACUUACCCUGCUUCAUCCUGGAAUGUUCCAUUUCUUUAGGAAGUUGAUUUCAGUCUUAAUUUUACAUGAUAGUUCAUUUCUUUCAUUCAAAGUUUGAAGAGGUUUGCCACACAGGAUCAGCCUUUUUGCUUUUCUUUGGUAGUCUACAGAGCAACUGAGGCCUCCUGUCCGUGCUAGAAUUUAAUGUAUCCUUCCUUAUAAAAACAGAACAUUUUCUUGUUCAGUUUACGUGGGCAUAAAGACAUGUGAAAUUACACAUAGCCGCACUUCUGUGAAGUCCCUGAAAGUGAUUUGUACUUGGGCAGUUUGGACUUCUGCUGUGUUAAGAGAGAAUCGAACCCCAC
Molecule: long non-coding RNA, 1973 nt
Organism: Equus asinus (donkey)
Lineage: Eukaryota; Metazoa; Chordata; Mammalia; Perissodactyla; Equidae
Source: Ensembl